GGUGUGCUACUCUGCAGCGGCGCCACCAUAAUGAAUACCAAUGAAUUAUAUGGUGAAAUGAUGUACCUAAAAGGUACAUCAUUGACAGCUUUUGUGUUUGACACGGCGUCGAAAAGGUUAAAAGUGUUACAGCCAUGAAAAACAAUCGCAUUUAAUGAGUAUGUUACAUGCUACAAUCUGGUACCUUUUGAUUUAAAUAUCACAUUUAAAUACCUACUACGGAACGUGUAUUCGUUUCUAUAUGCAGAGGCAUCCCGCAAGAAUGUCGCUUACGUAAUGCUUUUGCCUUGCGCGUGGCAGCGAUUUCAAUCAAAGCCGUAAAACAUGAGAUACUGCAAAUUUGUUAGACAUGUUAUGAGAUAUUACUAGACCCAAUAUCGCUUAGCAUUCUCGGAAUUAUUGGAAGGUUGGCGUUACGUAACCGAUAUUCUCGUGGACUGGCCCAAACAGUGUCUACUUUUUGUUAGGUUACUGUCCAGGGCCGCUUCAUUUGUGGUCGCGAACAACCUGUGACAAAGACUCCCGAGGUUUCAGAAAUUAUAGCGCACGUAAAACCGUAGUAGUUAAAUAGUGUUAAUUAUAUAUUAUGUGUUGUCAUUAAGAGUAGCCUUGAUGGGGUAAAGAAGAUUUUUGUUUAUUUUUUGUUUUAUUUUGUUAACGACACCAGAAUGUGUAAAGACUGGUAUUCUCCUUACAGAGUCUUACAGCUAGAUGGCUAAAAAUUCUGACCUAAAUAGUGUCGCCAUCUAGGAUUAUUUUUUUUCAGAGGAAUCCAUCUUUGUAAGGAGAUUAGCAGACUUUAUGGUUCUCUGGUCAUUCACAAGGCUUAGCUGGGAACCGACCUGAUUCAUAACUUUCAAAGCAAAUGAUUAAAUGACAGUUUUGUUGUUGGAUUAUUGUUGCGAAAAACAAUUAAGAUGAAUAUUGUCUUUACUAGAAAUGGAAACGUUUGUAAUAUUGUGGUCUGGUUCAUGUUUAACGCUGUUGUUAUUCUUGUCAGUUUCCAGUUUAAGUAAUCCAAUGUGUAAAAAACUGAAAAUGAAGACUAUGUAGGUAUGUUGAUUACUCGCCAAAUACCUUCUCUGUAACAGACUGGUAAAUAUAAGCUCUUAUAAUUAUAA
This is a long non-coding RNA of Cydia splendana, 1121 nucleotides long. RefSeq lists it as uncharacterized. The record is from RefSeq and is a predicted model, not a curated record. The transcript has 2 exons. NCBI's taxonomy places the organism in Eukaryota, Metazoa, Arthropoda, Insecta, Lepidoptera, Tortricidae.